Molecule: ribosomal RNA, 1958 nt
Filed under: human gut metagenome
Description: bacterial LSU rRNA
Rfam family: Bacterial large subunit ribosomal RNA
Source: RNAcentral
UCAAGUUAUUAAGGGUGCAGGGCGGAUGCCUUGGCACUAGGAGCCGAUGAAGGACGUGAUAAGCUGCGAUAAGCUUCGGGGAGUUGCACGUAAACUUUGAUCCGAAGAUUUCCGAAUGAGGAAACUCACUUAGAGUAAUGUCUAAGUAUCGUUAAGUGAAUACAUAGCUUAGCGAGGGGAACCCGGGGAACUGAAACAUCUAAGUACCCGGAGGAAGAGAAAGAAAUUCGAUUCCGUAAGUAGCGGCGAGCGAACGCGGAACAGGCCAAACCAAUGAAGUUUACUUCGUUGGGGUUGCGGACAUACAACAUGGAUGCAAUAUCGUAAAUGAAGAGAGUUGGAAAGCUCCGCCAUAGAAGGUAAUAGCCCUGUAGUUGAAACGAGAAAGCUACUAGUAUGAUCCAGAGUACCACGGGACACGUGAAACCCUGUGGGAAGCAGGAGGGACCAUCCUCCAAGCCUAAAUACUACCUAGUGACCGAUAGCGCAUAGUACCGUGAGGGAAAGGUGAAAAGAACCCCGGGAGGGGAGUGAAAUAGAACCUGAAACCCUGCACUUACAAGCUGUGGGAGCACAUUACUUGUGUGACCGCGUACUUUUUGUAGAACGGGCCAACGAGUUACGUUAAGUAGCAAGGUUAAGCACUUAAGGUGUGGAGCCGUAGCGAAAGCGAGUCUUAAAUGGGCGAUUAAGUUACUUGGCGUAGACCCGAAACCGGGCGACCUAUCCAUGAGCAGGUUGAAGCGAAAGUAAAAUUUCGUGGAGGACCGAACCCACGAGCGUUGAAAAGCUCGGGGAUGACUUGUGGAUAGCGGUGAAAUUCCAAUCGAGCCCGGAGAUAGCUGGUUCUCCCCGAAAUAGCUUUAGGGCUAGCCUCAAGCGUAGAGAAACGGAGGUAGAGCACUGAAUGUCCUAGGGGGUAUUGCACUUACCGAAGACUAUCAAACUCCGAAUGCCGUUUUCUUUUACUUGGGAGUCAGACUGUGGGUGAUAAGAUUCAUAGUCAAAAGGGCAACAGCCCAGAUCGUCAGCUAAGGUCCCUAAAUGUACGUUAAGUGGUAAAGGAUGUGGGAUUGCACAGACAACCAGGAUGUUGGCUUAGAAGCAGCCACUCAUUUAAAGAGUGCGUAAUAGCUCACUGGUCGAGUGAUCCUGCGCCGAAAAUUUCCGGGGCUAAAACGUACUACCGAAGCUACGGCAUCAUUUAUGAUGGGUAGGGGAGCUUCGUAUGCAGGCUGAAGCAUGACCGUAAGGACAUGUGGACAGUAUACGAGUGAGAAUGUUGGCAUGAGUAGCGAGACGUGGGUGAGAAUCCCACGGGCCGUAAACCCAAGGUUUCCAGGGGAAGGUUCGUCCGCCCUGGGUUAGUCGGGACCUAAGCCGAGGCCGAAAGGCGUAGGUGAUGGACAACAGGUUGAUAUUCCUGUACCGCCAAUAAGCGUUUGAGAGAUGGAGUGACACAGUAGGAUAAGCUAACCGUACUGUUGGUUAUGUACGGCUAAGCAUUGAGGCAGUCUAAAUAGGCAAAUCCGUUUAGACAAUGCUAGGAUGUGAUGGGGAAGCCCUUCGGGGCGAAGUAGCUGAUUUCACACUGUCAAGAAAAGCUUCUAUCGAGUUUAAAGGCGCCCGUACCGUAAACCGACACAGGUGGGUGAGGAGAGUAUCCUAAGGCCAGCGAGAGAACUAUUGUUAAGGAACUCGGCAAAAUGACCCCGUAACUUAGGGAGAAGGGGUGCCUGUCUAUGACAGGCCGCAGAGAAUAGGCCCAAGCGACUGUUUACCAAAAACACAGGUUUCUGCUAAGUCGCAAGACGAUGUAUAGGAGCUGACGCCUGCCCGGUGCUGGAAGGUUAAGGGGAUCUGUUAGAGCAAUCGAAGCAGUGAACUUAAGCCCCAGUAAACGGCGGCCGUAACUAUAACGGUCCUAAGGUAGCGAAAUUCCUUGUCGGGUAAGUUCC